CUGGGAAACUUGAGUGCAGAAGAGGAGAGUGGAAUUCCACGUGUAGCGGUGAAAUGCGUAGAGAUGUGGAGGAACACCAGUGGCGAAGGCGACUCUCUGGUCUGUAACUGACGCUGAGGAGCGAAAGCGUGGGGAGCGAACAGGAUUAGAUACCCUGGUAGUCCACGCCGUAAACGAUGAGUGCUAAGUGUUAGGGGGUUUCCGCCCCUUAGUGCUGCAGCUAACGCAUUAAGCACUCCGCCUGGGGAGUACGGUCGCAAGACUGAAACUCAAAGGAAUUGACGGGGGCCCGCACAAGCGGUGGAGCAUGUGGUUUAAUUCGAAGCAACGCGAAGAACCUUACCAGGUCUUGACAUCCUCUGACAACCCUAGAGAUAGGGCUUUCCCUUCGGGGACAGAGUGACAGGUGGUGCAUGGUUGUCGUCAGCUCGUGUCGUGAGAUGUUGGGUUAAGUCCCGCAACGAGCGCAACCCUUGAUCUUAGUUGCCAGCAUUCAGUUGGGCACUCUAAGGUGACUGCCGGUGACAAACCGGAGGAAGGUGGGGAUGACGUCAAAUCAUCAUGCCCCUUAUGACCUGGGCUACACACGUGCUACAAUGGACAGAACAAAGGGCUGCAAGACCGCAAGGGUUUAGCCAAUCCCAUAAAUCUGUUCUCAGUUCGGAUCGCAGUCUGCAACUCGACUGCGUGAAGCUGGAAUCGCUAGUAAUCGCGGAUCAGC
Molecule: ribosomal RNA, 721 nt
Filed under: Bacillus pumilus
Lineage: Bacteria; Bacillati; Bacillota; Bacilli; Caryophanales; Bacillaceae
Description: bacterial SSU rRNA
Rfam family: Bacterial small subunit ribosomal RNA
Source: RNAcentral